Molecule: ribosomal RNA, 368 nt
Filed under: uncultured eukaryote
Lineage: Eukaryota
Description: SSU rRNA
Rfam family: Eukaryotic small subunit ribosomal RNA
Source: RNAcentral
AGCUCCAAUAGCGUAUAUUAAAGUUGUUGCAGUUAAAAAGCUCGUAGUUGAACUUCUGGCGGUCGUGUGCGCUGGCUUCGGUCGCGUACGGGGUCGUCAUCCGCUUGAAAACUGCGUUCGGCCUUCACUGGUCGGCGUAGGGAUCAAGCACUUUACUUUGAAAAAAUUAGAGUGUUCAAGGCAGGCAAUCGCCUGAAUACACAAGCAUGGAAUAAUGGAAUAGGACCGCGGUCCAUUUUGUUGGUUAUUGGACCGCAGUAAUGAUUAAUAGGGACAGUUGGGGGCAUUAGUAUUUAAUUGUCAGAGGUGAAAUUCUUGGAUUUAUUAAAGACGAACUAAUGCGAAAGCAUUUGCCAAGGAUGUUUUCA